This 497-nucleotide ribosomal RNA is filed under the name uncultured bacterium. RNAcentral describes it as "partial 16S ribosomal RNA". It matches the Rfam family "Bacterial small subunit ribosomal RNA", at positions 28 to 507 of the family's 1533-position model. The record is from RNAcentral.
GAUGAACGCUGGCGGCGUGCCUAAUACAUGCAAGUCGAGCGAACGGACGAGAAGCCUGCUUUUCUGAUGUUAGCGGCGGACGGGUGAGUAACACGUGGAUAACCUACCUAUAAGACUGGGAUAACUUCGGGAAACCGGAGCUAAUACCGGAUAAUAUUUUGAACCGCAUGGUUCAAAAGUGAAAGACGGUCUUGCUGUCACUUAUAGAUGGAUCCGCGCUGCAUUAGCUAGUUGGUAAGGUAACGGCUUACCAAGGCAACGAUGCAUAGCCGACCUGAGAGGGUGAUCGGCCACACUGGAACUGAGACACGGUCCAGACUCCUACGGGAGGCAGCAGUAGGGAAUCUUCCGCAAUGGGCGAAGGCCUGACGGAGCAACGCCGCGUGAGUGAUGAAGGUCUUCGGAUCGUAAAACUCUGUUAUUAGGGAAGAACAUAUGUGUAAGUAACUGUGCACAUCUUGACGGUACCUAAUCAGAAAGCCACGGCUAACUACGUG